AAUCCUGAAGGGCCCCAGUUAAAUCUUGGGGAGCCAAGUUUAAUUCUGUGAGAGCCCCACUUUGAUUCCAGAGAGUCCAGUUCGAUCAUGAAAUCCGGAACCUGAACAGCGGCUUCUCCCGGCUCCGGACAUUGGUGCCGCUGGUGCCGCGGGACCGCAGGCCCAGCAAGGCCGACACGCUGCGGGCGGCGGCCCAGUACAUCCAACUGCUGAGGGGAGUGCUCAGGGACUGCCAGCAGCUCGAUGCUGAUGCUGAGCAGCAGUUGGGGGACACUGGGGGGGUCCCACCGGGGGG
Long non-coding RNA from Neopelma chrysocephalum (saffron-crested tyrant-manakin), 295 nucleotides. RefSeq lists it as uncharacterized. The record is from RefSeq and is a predicted model, not a curated record. NCBI's taxonomy places the organism in Eukaryota, Metazoa, Chordata, Aves, Passeriformes, Pipridae. The transcript has 3 exons.